ACUGAUCCCCGAAAUACCGGAUUCGACACUAAAUCGAACCCCUAAAUCAAUGCGGAAGACGAAGCCCGGGAAAACGAACACGCAUCACCGAUCCUAAAGCACACCACGGAUUCGAGCGUACCUUUUAGCCACAGAUUAAACACCGACGUUGAUGGAGGAAGAGAAACUGAGCAAUUCGAUCCGAUGAAGCCUUAAAGGGAGGAAGAACAAGCCGUAUGCUUACUGUCUUUUCUUUUGUCUUUUGAGAGAGAAUACGCGCGGGAGAGAGACGACGUGAAUUCUGA
This 284-nucleotide long non-coding RNA is filed under the name Eucalyptus grandis. Its description in RNAcentral is "long non-coding RNA (EGRA_LNC002868)". The record is from RNAcentral. Lineage: Eukaryota; Viridiplantae; Streptophyta; Magnoliopsida; Myrtales; Myrtaceae.